RNAcentral lists this ribosomal RNA (255 nucleotides) under uncultured bacterium. RNAcentral describes it as "partial 16S ribosomal RNA". It matches the Rfam family "Bacterial small subunit ribosomal RNA", at positions 524 to 776 of the family's 1533-position model. The record is from RNAcentral.
UACGUAGGGUGCAAGCGUUGUCCGGAAUUAUUGGGCGUAAAGAGCUCGUAGGCGGUCUGUCACGUCGGCUGUGAAAACCCGAGGCUCAACCUCGGGACCUGCAGUCGAUACGGGCAGACUAGAGUUCGGUAGGGGGAGACUGGAAUUCCUGGUGUAGCGGUGAAAUGCGCAGAUAUCAGGAGGAACACCGGUGGCGAAGGCGGUUCUCUGGGCAUUACCUGACGCUGAGGAGCGAAAGUGUGGGGAGCGAACAGG